RNAcentral lists this ribosomal RNA (301 nucleotides) under uncultured bacterium. Its description in RNAcentral is "partial 16S ribosomal RNA". It matches the Rfam family "Bacterial small subunit ribosomal RNA", at positions 509 to 807 of the family's 1533-position model. The record is from RNAcentral.
CAGCCGCCGCGGUAAUACGAAGGGGGCUAGCGUUGCUCGGAAUGACUGGGCGUAAAGGGCGCGCAGGCGGUUAUAUAAGACAGAUGUGAAAUCCCCGGGCUCAACCUGGGACCUGCAUUUGUGACUGUAUAGCUAGAGUACGGUAGAGGGGGAUGGAAUUCCGCGUGUAGCAGUGAAAUGCGUAGAUAUGCGGAGGAACACCGAUGGCGAAGGCAAUCCCCUGGACCUGUACUGACGCUCAUGCACGAAAGCGUGGGGAGCAAACAGGAUUAGAUACCCGGGUAGUCCCUGUCUCUUAUAC